GUUGCCAGCAUUCAGUUGGGCACUCUAAGGUGACUGCCGGCUAAAAGUCGGAGGAAGUGGGGAUGACGUCAAAUCAUCAUGCCCUUAUGACCUGGGCUACACACGUGCUACAAUGGGCGGUACAAAGGGUCGCGAACCCGCAGGGGGAGCCAAUCCCAAAAAGCCGCUCUCAGUUCGGAUUGCAGGCUGCAACUCGCCUGCAUGAAGCCGGAAUCGCUAGUAAUCGCGGAUCAGCAUGCCGCGGUGAAUACGUUCCCGGGCCUU
Molecule: ribosomal RNA, 264 nt
Filed under: uncultured Anoxybacillus sp.
Lineage: Bacteria; Bacillati; Bacillota; Bacilli; Caryophanales; Anoxybacillaceae
Description: partial 16S ribosomal RNA
Rfam family: Bacterial small subunit ribosomal RNA
Source: RNAcentral